UCGACUUUUGAUAGUUGUCCCUCAAGCGUCCGUUCGCUAGGACGGAGGGGUUGAGCCGAGUCACGUUAUCCUCGUUGGACGAACCGUGGUGCUCGUUUGAGCUGCAAACGGGUAGGUUCGAGUGGAGUCCCGGUCCCCGUUCGGGGGGUCCGGCUCGGGCCAAGCUGGUGGCGCACUCCAAUUUCCCGCCGGCCAGUUCAUAUAGUUCCCGGAUUCGUUCGAUCGGAUCUGGGGGCCCGUUGCCUUUCCCUGUGGAAAAACCAUGAACUUUAUACCGGACGGGACUCGAACGUGAGGUCGGGACGCCCUUGGCUUUCGCUUGCCUGGGUGUUGGCCGCUAGCGGACCCGUCCCUUCUCACACCUUGCUCGGGGGAUGUACUGAGGCAGCUGUCGAACUCGUGUUGGGCUAGCUUUCGAACCUCUGGACCGUAAUGGGCCGUAGGGGCGUUUUCAGCCCCGUAUCCCUUUCUUACCUCCCUGUGGGCCGUGGGCCGGAACGAAGUGGUCGUUGCGUCCGGGCCGAACGUGGGGGCGUUGUGGGCGCGUCAUCCGGGAAGUGGAGUUAUGGGGAGCGCCAUCCCGCGAAUCGAGGAGGAUAGGAUGUUUUCGCGGCCGAUCGUGCGCGCGGUUUUCGAAAAGGAAACGGGCGUGGCAGGGGCGUACCUGGCGCUGCAUUUAUGGCGGCCGGGGCGUCGAUUUGGCUUCUCCGAUACCUUUCCUAUAAAAACGGGAGCCCGCCGCGCCGGUUCUGC
RNAcentral lists this long non-coding RNA (753 nucleotides) under Setaria viridis. RNAcentral's name for it is "long non-coding RNA (SVIR_LNC007012)". Lineage: Eukaryota; Viridiplantae; Streptophyta; Magnoliopsida; Poales; Poaceae. The record is from RNAcentral.